Stomoxys calcitrans (stable fly) is the source of this 1832-nucleotide long non-coding RNA. RefSeq lists it as uncharacterized. Lineage: Eukaryota; Metazoa; Arthropoda; Insecta; Diptera; Muscidae. The transcript is spliced from 2 exons. The record is from RefSeq and is a predicted model, not a curated record.
AAGACCAUAAAGUUAACAUCAAAAAAAUAGUUUCAAUUCAGGAAACCCAAAUUUUGUGCUCCCUCAAGAAGCCUCCCAUUAAUUGGGAGGCUUAGAAAUAGAGGUCACCAAAUACAACAUUCGUCAACAUAAAUUCAUUAACCAAAAGAAAGUGUUUCGUAAUAUACAAAAAAUAUAAUUCAAAUCAUCAAAAAGUAAUAGAAACCCAUUACCCAUAACAAUCGGUUAAUUGAUUGUUAUUUUUGAACAACCACUCACAUAUUCAACUACACUCAAAGAACAAAUACAAACCAUAGGCGCCUAUAACAACAUGAUCAACUAUGAUCAUGCCAAAUUGUGAACUAAAUUAAGUUUAUUCUACAAAAAUCCAGUUUAGAUGUCAUGGUUACAAAGCAAGAAUCUGGAAAGAGCCUAGCUGUUUUGAAAUUUCAUAGUUUCGAGUCUAAAUUAUUGCUUUCGAAUAAAUCAAUGAUCAUCCCAUCAUGGCAGAAAGUUGGACAUAAAUCAGUUGGACAUCAUGUAAUAAAUGACAAAACAAUACUGAAUGCCAUAAACUCGGACCAUCAAGCCUUUGGCAAGAUCAUAACAUCAUCAGCAUAAGAAAUCACAUCAAGGAUUAUGCCUUACCCCCUAACCUUCACAGGAAGCAUGUAAAUGCUACGAAUUUCUCAACUCUAUCACAAAUUACGGAACAGAACUUAUAGUAAACCAAAUUAUAUUUUUGUACAAAUCUAACGGACAGAACUUACAAUAAUCCAAAUUAUACAUUUUGUAUGAAACUUUUUGAAUAUUUAACAUUUCGUACCAACUCCAUUUGAUAUCAAUUUUAUAAUAUGCUAUGCUCCGUUAAAAUUUUUUCAAUCCAUAUUUUACUUCUUACAAUUUUUUAUGAUUUUUUAAUCAAAAUAUAAGUAACAUAAAUUUUGAAAAUUCAAUUAAAUUUUAAAAAUGUUUUGCAUUGUUACAAAUUUUUUUUCCUACAUUUUUUCCUUUCAAAAUUCCUUUUUGCCAUUUUUAUAACUUUAUUACAUAGUGUUACUGCUACUAUUCAUCUGUACUUUAUAUAGUUUUAAAGUCAAAUCUAUAACAAAUCUAAACUGAUAUCAUGUUGAAGCAAAGAUUUCAUGUUUGUUUUUAAAUUGCUUAUUUGAAAAAUAAGAAAAUAUAUAUAUAUUAAAAAUGUAAAUUUCAUACAUUCAAAAAAUCUGUUUCAUAUAUUUAAAAAAUAUAUAUUUCUUAACAUUUUCAUACUUUUUAAUCCAAAUCUGAUAUUAUUUCUUUAUGAUUAUUUUAUUCACUUUACAUAUGAAACUCUUUAUUCAAACAUGGUAUCUUCUUUACAAAUUCCUAUUUCAAACUAUAUUCCUAAUUUUUAUAUACUUUUUUCAUAUACAUAACUAAUAUAAGUGUUGUUUGUUAAUAUCAAAUUUGAAACUUUUUUCUUGCCCAUCUGUAUACAGAAAAUAUGCUUUAUAACUAUUCUUUAUUACGAUUAUUUUUUUCCAAAUUUUUUUUUAAUAAUUUUUGAAAAAUCUAGUUUUAAGAUUGUACAUCUCUUUCUAAUGCCCUACCAAAUUAUUAUUUAUAAAUUUUUACUAUAUAUAUUUUUUUAUCCUAUUUUAAAUUUAAUUUAAAUUUUUCAUAAAAUUUAUUUUGGUUUUAUUUUCAUUACAAAAAAUUUAAUGUUUUCAAAAUCAGUAUAUACAAAAAACAAAAUUUGUUGGAGGCGUUCGCGAGCAUAAUAUUGGUAUUUCUUGCCAAAUUAUGUUUUUAAUUUAAUAUCAUUUCGUAAUGACAAAAAACGACAAAUUUAUUUUUAAUGAUUUUUUUUU